Molecule: long non-coding RNA, 580 nt
Filed under: Pan paniscus (pygmy chimpanzee)
Lineage: Eukaryota; Metazoa; Chordata; Mammalia; Primates; Hominidae
Description: lncRNA (ENSPPAG00000044649.1)
Source: RNAcentral
AUGGCGUUGCGACUCCCAGGGAAAAGCUGGGAGGCAAGCGGGGCGUGGGGAGGAAAGGCCAAGGCACACGGCGUGGGCGGCCCCUCACAGCCUUCCUCCGCCCCCUCCAUUCCGCACUGGUCGGGGGUGAAGGGGGGGAGCGGGGGGAGCCGCGCUGACGUCACUGCGGGCCGUGCCCGCCCGAGAAGGCGGCGCUGGGAGCCGCUCAGAGCCCAGAGAAGCGGCGCGCGGCCAGGAGCCCCCGCUCCGCCACUGCCGUGCCUGCCUCCCGCAGCUGUCUGCCAUGCGCUCGCCGGGGCAGGGGCGCCCGGAGAGCGGCGAGAGCUGGGCCUGAGCCCGGGAACGCGCCUGAUCAGGGGUGGCGGAGCCGCGGUCCCCACAGCCGCCCCACCCGCGCCGCUGCCUCGCUGGGGCCCGGGCCCCCUUCCUGGUCCGACAUACUCUGGAGUCAGAAGACAGCGAAAAGAGAAGCAGAAGCCCCGGUGGCAAGAGUCUGAAGCAGGAAGGAUGACUGUAGCCUGUGGAUUGUACUGCAGUAGGAAACUGUCCUAGCAAGGCUCCACCUUGCCCCAGCUUCAAG